Long non-coding RNA from Pogonomyrmex barbatus (red harvester ant), 473 nucleotides. RefSeq lists it as uncharacterized. The record is from RefSeq and is a predicted model, not a curated record. NCBI's taxonomy places the organism in Eukaryota, Metazoa, Arthropoda, Insecta, Hymenoptera, Formicidae.
GAUAUUGAUAUAACCAACGUUUGGAUAUGUCAGGAUUCUUCUAUUACCCUCGCAGCUAUGCACAAAACUUUACCCAAAGUUAUGGAUAUUGCGCCAAUCAAAAAUUUCCCCGAUAGAUAACACGCUAUGCAGUUUCGCUCCUCUUUUGUUUCCUCAUCAUUUGCGUUUUAUCCAUUUCUAACCUAACUGCGACCAAAAAUCUGAUAUCAUCCAGCGUUAUCCCUUGGGCUCUCACUCAUCUGCCGACAAAAGAGCAUCUGUGCGAACCGAUCCGUAAUGCUCCUGCAACCUGUUCACAAGUAGCUUGCCCUACGCCCAGCAUGAAUUCAUUAUCAGUCUAGUAUAAACAUAUUGCCUGUAUAUGAAUGGGGUGCUGUCAGUCAACAGAGCCGCCUUUCUGAUCGCAAAUGACGACGAAACCAGUUCGCAGAAGGAAAAACUCUAAGACAGUGCAUGUAAACCAUAAAAUGCAU